AAUUAAUGCUGCUGCUGUUCAUACCUGUAUUGCCGUCCGUAAGCUAGCUCGACUCCUAGCAUGUCCGUGUUUCUUCAGGACGUUUUUAACCGUGUUUACACAGUGCUGACAGCUGUUGCCCGUGUUCAGACUCCGUUUUUCGGCUGUUGCUCACAUCAGCUGUGAACCAAAAAAACGCACUUCAUGGCGGCAGAAGUGGAGUUCUCCUGUCCAUUUCAGUGACCAACUCUGUAAAAGUCCAUUCUUCUCACAGCUUCACUUCAUCAAGAAAUGUGUGAAAUCUAAGGUUCGAUCUGUCCAUCCUCAGACGUGUGAAGCAGUUUCAAGAGGCCACAACGGAAAACUAACCAGACUUCAAGGAUUGUGGAAGACAAGGAAUGCAGACAGUCUCAUGGAUUCAAAAGAAGCUUAAGCAGACUGUGCUGCUGGAUGGCCAUAGGUGGAGGCAGAGGUACUGAGUCAGCACCCUCCUCGCCCUCCUCCUCGCCGCAGCUCUGCAUGCCCGAAGAACUUGACUUGGACAACGUGCCGCUCGACAAGCCCUCGUUACGAACCCUCUGCGGCACACAUGGAUGGCACGGUAGAGAUUACAUCAC
Molecule: long non-coding RNA, 596 nt
Organism: Perca flavescens (yellow perch)
Lineage: Eukaryota; Metazoa; Chordata; Actinopteri; Perciformes; Percidae
Exons: 3
Source: RefSeq, a predicted model, not a curated record